GCACAUGCGCAGAAUCAUCGUGGUGCACGGCUCUCCCGUUGCUUCUUCGGUUGCAGUCCUCUUGGCUUCUUGCGCGUGCGUGUAGCGCUUUUGCAAAGCCGCGGAGGUGAAGCUAACGUAGAGGCUGUGGGGCCAAGGGGUCCUCUUAUAGCUAUCAGCCCACAGGCAUUUAGUCUACGUUGGAGGUAAACAAAUACGGGUCCAGCUUAGGAGAAAACAAAAACGUCUUACAGCCAGUGUCUAAACUCCAAACAACGGAAUGUAUCAAUGAGACCUUGUAUAUGGAUACACGUGCAUUUAAAACCGCCCUGCCGGCGUGUAGAGCUCUUGCCGUUCGCCAGCGCUUUACAGGGGUUAUCGCACUUAAGCCUCGGAACAACUUUACCAGAUGAGGACACCUGAGGCUCAGAUUACGAAAUCUGCCCCAAAGUCUUAGAACUGGUAUUCUCCACUGGUUGAAUGCAAAUGGAAGCCAGAGGAAAAGGGAACCCUUGACACAGUUUUCAUAUAGACUGGCCUCCAGGGCAGACAGCAGUUGCUCUGGCUGUAUCAAAUAAAAGUGUCAAGAGUGAGCAUCCUUGCAUUGUGCUGAAUCACAGAGGAAUACCUUUCAAUUUUUCUCCAUUGACUAUGAUAGCAGUGGGCUUUUCACAUGUGGGCUUUACUGUGUUGAGGUACCCUAAUGAUAAGUUCACCCCAGUGUUUUCUGAGGAGUCUACCUGGAAAUGAGAACCAUCUGUCCUUCCUAUAGUAGUUCUUCUCAGAAUGCCGACUCUAUGCUAAUGGAGGAGGUCUGAUGGCCGGGAGGAUGGGAAGAAGGAACCCACAAUGAAGCAAAAGUCACGUUUAACUCUGUCCUCACCAUUCCUCUCCUGGGCCUGUCCUAAACUGGAAGCUGGGGGAGGAUGGAGUGCUGGAAUGCUGUAGAAGUCUCAUGGGAGGGCGCCUGGUGUUCACCACAUGUGUACACUGUUGCACGACCAG
Molecule: long non-coding RNA, 984 nt
Filed under: Pongo abelii (Sumatran orangutan)
Lineage: Eukaryota; Metazoa; Chordata; Mammalia; Primates; Hominidae
Description: lincRNA
Rfam family: Deleted in lymphocytic leukemia 1 conserved region 1 (bases 126-315)
Source: RNAcentral